Molecule: ribosomal RNA, 253 nt
Filed under: uncultured bacterium
Lineage: Bacteria
Description: partial 16S ribosomal RNA
Rfam family: Bacterial small subunit ribosomal RNA
Source: RNAcentral
UACGGAGGGGGCUAGCGUUGUUCGGAAUUACUGGGCGUAAAGCGCUCGUAGGCGGCUUUGCAAGUUAGAGGUGAAAGCCCGGGGCUCAACUCCGGAAUUGCCUUUAAAACUGCAUCGCUAGAAUUGUGGAGAGGUAAGUGGAAUUCCGAGUGUAGAGGUGAAAUUCGUAGAUAUUCGGAAGAACACCAGUGGCGAAGGCGACUUACUGGACACAUAUUGACGCUGAGGUGCGAAAGCGUGGGGAGCAAACAGG